GACGAACUGUGCAAACGUUUAUUCGGAAUCACUGGGCUUGAAGAGUGCGUAGGCGGUUUCGUAAGUAGGGUGUGAAAGCCCUCGGCUCAACCGGGGAAUUGCGUCCUAAACUGCGAGGCUGGAGUGUGGCAGAGGGGGGUGGAAUUCCACGUGUAGCAGUGAAAUGCGUAGAGAUGUGGAGGAACACCCGAUGGCGAAGGCAGCCCCCCUGGGCUAACACUGACGCUCAUGCACGAAAGCGUGGGGAGCAAACAGG
Molecule: ribosomal RNA, 256 nt
Filed under: uncultured bacterium
Lineage: Bacteria
Description: partial 16S ribosomal RNA
Rfam family: Bacterial small subunit ribosomal RNA
Source: RNAcentral